GAUGAACGCUGGCGGCGCGCCUAACACAUGCAAGUCGAACGAUUAAAGCACCUUCGGGUGUGUAUAAAGUGGCGAACGGCUGAGUAACACGUGGGCAACCUGCCCCUUUCAUUGGGAUAGCCACGGGAAACCGUGGAUAAUACCGAAUACUUCGAGACUUCCGCAUGGAAGACUCGAGAAAGCUCCGGCGGAGAGGGAUGGGCCCGCGGCCUGUUAGCUUGUUGGUGGGGUAACGGCCUACCGAGGCAAUGAUGGGUAGCUGGGUUGAGAGACCGACCAGCCAGAUUGGGACUGAGACACGGCCCAGACUCCUACGGGAGGCAGCAGUGGGGAAUCUUGCACAAUGGGCGAAAGCCUGAUGCAGCGACGCCGCGUGCGGGAUGAAGGCCUUCGGGUUGUAAACCGCUUUCAGCAGGGACGAGGCGAAAGUGACGGUACCUGCAGAAGAAGCCCCGGCUAACUACGUG
RNAcentral lists this ribosomal RNA (467 nucleotides) under uncultured bacterium. RNAcentral describes it as "partial 16S ribosomal RNA". It matches the Rfam family "Bacterial small subunit ribosomal RNA", at positions 28 to 507 of the family's 1533-position model. The record is from RNAcentral.